UGAGUGGUCCGUGCGAUCGCCGGUCGGUCCUCCUCGGAGGGCGGAUCGGAGGAAAGUCCGGGCUCCAGAGGGCAGGACGGUCCGUAACGCGGACGCCGGGUGACCGGCGGAAAGUGCCACAGAAAAUAAACCGCCCCGAUUCUCUGGAUCGGAGCAAGGGUGAAACGGUGGGGUAAGAGCCCACCGCCCCGGCGGUGACGUCGGGGGCACGGCAAACCCCGUCCGGAGCAAGACCAAGCAGGGGACCGGGCGGCCCGCUCAACGUCCCCGGGUAGGUCGCAAGAGGCGGACGGCAACGUCCGUCCCAGAUGAAUGAUCGCACUCGACAGAACCCGGCUUACAGGACCACUCGCCUC
This 356-nucleotide RNase P RNA is filed under the name Deltaproteobacteria bacterium. Its description in RNAcentral is "RNase P RNA component class A". It matches the Rfam family "Bacterial RNase P class A". Rfam says of the family: Ribonuclease P (RNase P) is a ubiquitous endoribonuclease, found in archaea, bacteria and eukarya as well as chloroplasts and mitochondria. Its best characterised activity is the generation of mature 5'-ends of tRNAs by cleaving the 5'-leader elements of precursor-tRNAs. Cellular RNase Ps are ribonucleoproteins. The record is from RNAcentral. Lineage: Bacteria; Pseudomonadati; Myxococcota; Myxococcia.